Molecule: transfer RNA, 76 nt
Filed under: Candidatus Saccharimonadota bacterium
Lineage: Bacteria; Candidatus Saccharimonadota
Description: tRNA-Ile
Rfam family: tRNA
About the family: Transfer RNA (tRNA) molecules are approximately 80 nucleotides in length. Their secondary structure includes four short double-helical elements and three loops (D, anti-codon, and T loops). Further hydrogen bonds mediate the characteristic L-shaped molecular structure. tRNAs have two regions of fundamental functional importance: the anti-codon, which is responsible for specific mRNA codon recognition, and the 3' end, to which the tRNAs corresponding amino acid is attached (by aminoacyl-tRNA synthetases). tRNAs cope with the degeneracy of the genetic code in two manners: having more than one tRNA (with a specific anti-codon) for a particular amino acid; and 'wobble' base-pairing, i.e. permitting non-standard base-pairing at the 3rd anti-codon position.
Source: RNAcentral
GGGGGUGUAGCUCAGUGGUUAGAGCAGUCGGCUCAUAACCGAUUGGUCGAAGGUUCAAUUCCUUCCACCCCCACCA